Molecule: ribosomal RNA, 500 nt
Filed under: uncultured Actinomycetes bacterium
Lineage: Bacteria; Bacillati; Actinomycetota; Actinomycetes
Description: bacterial SSU rRNA
Rfam family: Bacterial small subunit ribosomal RNA
Source: RNAcentral
GCGCAGCCUGAUGCAGCAACGCCGCGUGAGGGANGAAGGCCUUCGGGUUGUAAACCUCUUUUAGCAGGGAAGAAGCGAAAGUGACGGUACCUGCAGAAAAAGCGCCGGCUAACUACGUGCCAGCAGCCGCGGUAAUACGUAGGGCGCAAGCGUUGUCCGGAAUUAUUGGGCGUAAAGAGCUCGUAGGCGGUUUGUCGCGUCUGCUGUGAAAAUCCGAGGCUCAACCUCGGACCUGCAGUGGGUACGGGCAAACUAGAGUGCGGUAGGGGAGAUUGGAAUUCCUGGUGUAGCGGUGGAAUGCGCAGAUAUCAGGAGGAACACCAAUGGCGAAGGCAGAUCUCUGGGCCGUAACUGACGCUGAGGAGCGAAAGCGUGGGGAGCGAACAGGAUUAGAUACCCUGGUAGUCCACGCCGUAAACGGUGGGAACUAGAUGUGGGGUCCGUUCCACGGAUUCCGUGUCGCAGCUAACGCAUUAAGUUCCCCGCCUGGGGGAGUACGG